Molecule: long non-coding RNA, 2787 nt
Filed under: Canis lupus familiaris (dog)
Lineage: Eukaryota; Metazoa; Chordata; Mammalia; Carnivora; Canidae
Description: lncRNA (ENSCAFG00000057631.1)
Source: RNAcentral
GAAAAAAAUCCAGCUGCAUUGAAGGUGCAUUUUGCCUUAGAAAGAGAGGGAUACCACAGAAAGAGAGAAGAUGUGGGUCCAUUUCCCCACUCACCACCAAGAAGUCCUGUGAUCUUGAUCUUUCUGACCUCAAUUUCCUCUCGUUUAGGAAAGGGAAAUGAUCACCCAUCUUCCAGAAUACUCUUGAGGGCUGAGUAAGACCAUGCUUGGGAAGGCACUGGGCACAGGCCUGGAGUGUAGCAGAUGCUCAUAUUGGUCAUGUCCAAAUCUGAACUUCCUGAAUUCCCUGGGAUAUAUGCGUACAGCCUAUCUUGAUCAACAGUCGGCAGCAACACAUUGCAGAUAUAAUCUCAAGACCUUGUGGCAUGUACUUGUCACUACAUGCAUAACUUACUAUGGACAGAGGAUCACGGAGAUUUUGAACAUAAUUUCCCACACGACAGGAGAUUAAAUAGACCACAUUGGAAGAAGGCAAGAAGAAGCUAGGUCUCUGGAGUACCAAAAAGUAAACUUCAGCCAGUUCUGGAAGCAUAUAAACAGCAGGAAAUAUACUUGCCGAUGGGCUACUUUCUCAAGAGUUCCUGCUUUCUAGAACUCUGGGGAAAGAAUGAGUUAGUGGGUAAGAAUGUAAGAGGAAAAAGGACCUUCCCUGGAAAGAUUUGGAGUGGAAGAAAAUCCGUGUCUCCUCAUUUAUGUAUGACUUUCUCCUCUCCCUUUGUGAUGCCCCUUUCUUGAAGAAUCCGCUCCCCCAGGUUCACUCCAUCAGAACCUACUCCUGAGACUGCAUUCCUGGCACCUAUAGUGAGGUGUUAAGUCAAUGCCCUACCUUUCAGUAUGUAUGUAAAUAUCAAGCUUUCUUUCUAUGUUUUUUUUUUUUUUCCAGUGAAGAAUUACUGGCUAUCAACAAAUAAAUAAGAGAAGGCAUUAGGGUCCAAAAGCACUUUUUAGGUCUCCCAGAAACCAUUCUACCCAGCAUCCUACAGUACCAUCUUGGACCUGCUGUGCCUAGUUUCCUUACUUGUGAAAACAAAAGAACAGUAGAACCUAACUCACGUGACUCUUGCAAAGAUGAUAGGAGUUCACCCUUAGAAAGCCUGACACGUUGUAAGUGCUUGGUAUGUAUUUAUUAUUAUUACCAUUAUUAGUAUAUGACAUAAAAGCCUUUCUGAAACAAAAAAAUCACAUGAAAUCAUCAACAGUCAUCAUCAUGAAUGAAAGCAUGUAUGGAGCUGGUUUACGAUGCGGUGUGGCAUCGUGGUUAAGAACACAGGUUUUCAAAGUCGACCACCUGUGCCCAAAACCUGGUGUUGCCACAUGGCCUUAUAUGACAUGGGCCUCAGAUUUCUAAGCUGAAAAGGGGGAAACAAUGUCUAUUACACAGAAUUGCUGUGAAGAUUAAACCACCUAAGAACUGUAAGACACUGAACAGUGCCUGAUAUAAAAUAAACACCCAAUAAAUGAGAGCGGGGGGGAAAAGAGUGCUCUUCAACCGAGAUUUAUCUUCAGAAAUUGUUUUGUUCAGAAACUGACUGACUGUUUGGAAAUAUUACUGUUGGAGCUGGAAGGCUACAAAUAACCCCUGAGAUGUGAGCCAGUGAAGAAAUAGGUAUCAGAGUCAUCCGGUCAUAGCUGUGGGAGUCGAAUGGACUUCCCAACACCACAACCUUGAAUGAGGCACACUCGCCCUACAGUCCUUGACCAAGCAGUACUGCAGGCCACCUCAAAGAUGGGAAUGAAAACCAAAACUGGCUGAGUUUCACCAGCUCCACUACUUCUUCCAAACACAGUCUUCAGAUAAGUCUCUCCUCUUCCCAAGGGGAAGGAAGACUGGGUGAAUUUGUGGUAUAAGGCUGGAAACUUUUCUUCCUUAUUUUUUCUUCAUGAAGUGAGGAGUAGAAAUGCCGUGCCCUCUAUGGGCACUUGCAGAUUAUAAAAGCUUCCCCCAACAUUUGGCCUUAACUAAUACAUUCAUAUGUUUCUAGAGCCACAUGGUCUAUAUGGAGAAACUAAGUGAGGCUGCCCUCCAGAGUACACUGAUAAACAUCACUGCUAAGUAUAAAUAUUUUAUUUUUUUGUGACAGUUUGUCUUCAAGACGACCAGCUACAAUUCCUCCUCUCUCCCAUAUAUGCCAUUCCUCCAUCUAGAGUUGGAGCUUUUCCUCCACCCUACUGAAUCUGGGCUAGCGUGUGACUGCUUUGAUGGGUAGGAUACAUCAGAAGCAGUGCUGCUUGGACUCCCAGGCUAGGGUGUAAGAUACCUUGCAACUUCUGCCUGGUUCUCUGGGAAUGCUUGUUCUGGAAGAAGCCAGCUUUCAUGAAAGUAAGAAUCAAAUUGCCCUGAAACCUCUGGGCUAUGAGGAAAUCCAAGGUAGCCAUGUGGAGAGGGAGAUGCCCAGCCAGCCCCUAGAUGUUCCAAUCAUCCCACCUGACACGUGGGAAUGAAGAAUCCAUCUAUUCAGCCAGUUCUUUUUUUUUUAUUUUUAUUUUUUUUUAUUUUUUAUUCAGCCAGUUCUUCAGAUGAUCCAUCCCCAGCUAUAAACAUUAGGGAAAUUUCAAGUGAAAACCACCCAGCCAAGCCCAUUCAACUCACAGAACUAUGGGAGAUCAUGAGUAGUAUUUGGUGAUUUCAAGAAACUAAGUUUUAGGGUGUUCGUCAUACAGCAAUUGAUCACCAAAUACUCCCUUUAACAGACUAUACCAAAUUUCUCACUGAACUUGUUUUUUGUUUGUUUAUUUAUUUUAUUUAUUUAUUUAUUUUUUUGGAUCUCACUCAAAUGGCACUUGAAC